This is a long non-coding RNA of Vanessa atalanta (red admiral), 296 nucleotides long. RefSeq lists it as uncharacterized. The record is from RefSeq and is a predicted model, not a curated record. NCBI's taxonomy places the organism in Eukaryota, Metazoa, Arthropoda, Insecta, Lepidoptera, Nymphalidae. The transcript has 2 exons.
ACAACGAGUAAUACGUUUCGCGCUCCUCGUAAUAACUAUCCAAAAUGCCAUCGUGUGUAUUUAGAAAGUGUACCAAUUACGAUACCAAAGUUAAUAAAACACAAGGGAUCUCAUACCACAUGUUUCCAACUUCAGAGAUUCAGCUUCAAGAAUGGAUCGCAAUUGUUCGUAAACAAGAAGUGAAUGCAGUUGGACGCCUUCGUAAUGAAUUUGUUAGACUAACGUGCGGUGAUUGGUGGCCCGAAUAAUAUUUGUUUAAAUUCACGCGCAAUUAAAACAUCUUGUUGUCUCUUUUA